RNAcentral lists this long non-coding RNA (806 nucleotides) under Coturnix japonica (Japanese quail). Its description in RNAcentral is "lncRNA (ENSCJPG00005008641.1)". The record is from RNAcentral. Lineage: Eukaryota; Metazoa; Chordata; Aves; Galliformes; Phasianidae.
UGAGGAUCCCUUGAUUUGAUACAAUGGCAGUGUUAUGUAUUAGUAGCAUGAACAGGAAGCAGCUGGCGUCCUGUUCAGAAAACAAUUUCAUUUUUUAUUGCGGAGAGCAAUAUUGAAAAACACUGUGUGUGCAUGAGGGGCCUAAUCCUUAAAAAUGUGAGAGCUGAGAUACUCUCCCAUUUCAUUGACCAGUCACUUCUGAACUAUUGUUCUUGAUUUGCCUCUUUUCACAGAAAGCUGUUCUGGUGUCAGUCCUUCAGAAUACAGAGAAAAAUAGCUCAAGCCCUGGAAUGGCUAUUUUGCACCUGUCUGCCACCUCAGCUGUCUGCUCCUGCCUGCCAUAGGAAGACAUGUACUGUCUUACUAGCAAAGUAUUUGUGCUAGAAUAUGGAUUUAAUAACAAGGCCCCAGAAACCUGAAAUAAUGAUACGACUGUAUGCUGUGCAGCUGAUGGAUCUUUUCUGUGUAAGAUGUCUUGCUUCCUCCAUACGAAGUAAAUGGUUUCUACGGAUGUGUAUAUUAAAGUUCUCAAGCUGCACUGUAAGUGGUAGUAAUUUGGACAGUGACAGCAGCUUGAAUGAAUGUUUAGAACGUCUUGCUUGUCAUUGCUAUUGUUAUUUGAGAUCGCGUUUCCAGAGGUUGGAGCUUAUUAGUCAAAGUAUUAAGGACCACAUUGUGUUGCCAUGAGUAACUUCAAUCUAUUAUAGAAAUAGGCUUAGGGGCUUUACUACAUAGGGAGACAAUUCUGAGGUGUUCUGUUUGUCUCUUGAUUUGUAUGGACUUCUAGUAGUAGUAGUCGAUUGCUG